AUUGAACGCUGGCGGCAGGCCUAACACAUGCAAGUCGAGCGGAUGAAGGAAGCUUGCUCCUGGAUUCAGCGGCGGACGGGUGAGUAAUGCCUAGGAAUCUGCCUGGUAGUGGGGGAUAACGUCCGGAAACGGGCGCUAAUACCGCAUACGUCCUGAGGGAGAAAGUGGGGGAUCUUCGGACCUCACGCUAUCAGAUGAGCCUAGGUCGGAUUAGCUAGUUGGUGGGGUAAAGGCAUACCAAGGCGACGAUCCGUAACUGGUCUGAGAGGGUGAUCAGUCACACUGGAACUGAGACACGGUCCAGACUCCUACGGGAGGCAGCAGUGGGGAAUAUUGGACAAUGGGCGAAAGCCUGAUCCAGCCAUGCCGCGUGUGUGAAGAAGGUCUUCGGAUUGUAAAGCACUUUAAGUUGGGAGGAAGGGCAGUAAGUUAAUACCUUGCUGUUUUGACGUUACCAACAGAAUAAGCACCGGCUAACUUCGUG
This 484-nucleotide ribosomal RNA is filed under the name uncultured bacterium. RNAcentral's name for it is "partial 16S ribosomal RNA". It matches the Rfam family "Bacterial small subunit ribosomal RNA", at positions 30 to 507 of the family's 1533-position model. The record is from RNAcentral.